AAUGGUCGGUACAAAGGGUUGCCAAGCCGCGAGGUGGAGCUAAUCCCAUAAACCGAUCGUAGUCCGGAUCGCAGUCUGCAACUCGACUGCGUGAAGUCGGAAUCGCUAGUAAUCGUGAAUCAGAAUGUCACGGUGAAUACGUUCCCGGGCCUU
RNAcentral lists this ribosomal RNA (153 nucleotides) under uncultured Pseudomonas sp. RNAcentral describes it as "partial 16S ribosomal RNA". It matches the Rfam family "Bacterial small subunit ribosomal RNA", at positions 1229 to 1382 of the family's 1533-position model. Lineage: Bacteria; Pseudomonadati; Pseudomonadota; Gammaproteobacteria; Pseudomonadales; Pseudomonadaceae. The record is from RNAcentral.